Molecule: long non-coding RNA, 332 nt
Organism: Salarias fasciatus (jewelled blenny)
Lineage: Eukaryota; Metazoa; Chordata; Actinopteri; Blenniiformes; Blenniidae
Exons: 3
Source: RefSeq, a predicted model, not a curated record
CGACGCCGACGACAACAUCAACAAAAAAAAGGAGGAAGAAAAAUCUGUUAACUCCGCAUUUCUGAUAGCUGACUGUUGGGCUGAAUGAAUCAAAUAGUUUGAGCGUAAUGAACUUCUCAGAGUGUGUGUCGUUAGCGGACGAUGGCUCUCGUUGAUCUUAAACGGUCUUAAAAGAUGAUCCAUACAGUAAUGAAGCCGGCUCGGCAGCUGGCCUGGCGCCCGAAACGGAACAUAAUCAAAGUCGCAGGGGGAUACCCUGAAGCUACCGUUACCCAAUAACAUCCCUCCGCUUCCCCUUUGUGCGCUCUUUACCGGGUAAAACCUGUUUGUCG